ACCGCCAUCUUACUGGGCAGCAUUGGAUGGUGUCUGGUCUCUAAUACUGCCUGGUAAUGAUGACGGC
Molecule: microRNA precursor, 67 nt
Filed under: Erinaceus europaeus (western European hedgehog)
Lineage: Eukaryota; Metazoa; Chordata; Mammalia; Eulipotyphla; Erinaceidae
Description: mir-8/mir-141/mir-200 microRNA precursor family
Rfam family: mir-8/mir-141/mir-200 microRNA precursor family
About the family: The bounds of the precursors are predicted based on conservation and base pairing and are not generally known.
Source: Rfam by way of RNAcentral